GACGAACCGUGCGAACGUUGUUCGGAAUCACUGGGCUUAAAGGGCGCGUAGGCGGGCCCGCAAGUCAGGGGUGAAAUCCCACGGCUCAACCGUGGAAGUGCCUUUGAUACUGCGGGUCUCGAGGGAGGUAGGGGCGUGCGGAACUUCCGGUGGAGCGGUGAAAUGCGUAGAUAUCGGAAGGAACACCGGUGGCGAAAGCGGCGCGCUGGACCUCUUCUGACGCUGAGGCGCGAAAGCGUGGGGAGCAAACAGG
This 253-nucleotide ribosomal RNA is filed under the name uncultured bacterium. RNAcentral's name for it is "partial 16S ribosomal RNA". It matches the Rfam family "Bacterial small subunit ribosomal RNA", at positions 524 to 776 of the family's 1533-position model. The record is from RNAcentral.